GUUCAAAUCCAGUCACGCGCACCAGUUUUCGCCCGUGCGAACGGGCGGGUUCUUUGAAAUCCAUGUAUGGAAUCAGCAGGGCAGUGACAGAAUCGUCAAGUGCCGCGGAACANNNNNNNNNNNNNNNNNNNNNNNNNNNNNNNNNNNNNNNNNNNNNNNNNNNNNNNNNNNNNNNNNNNNNNNNNNNNNNNNNNNNNNNNNNNNNNNCGGAUGAAUUCAUAGUCCGUCGGAGCGACACGGGGCGAAGUGAAACAUCUCAGUAACCCCAGGAAAAGAAAACAACGUGAUUCCGCAAGUAGUGGCGAGCGAAAGCGGAACAGCCCAAACCUCGGCAACUUGUUGCCGGGGGGUUGAGGGACCCUGACAUGGCAUGUGGAGGAUUAGCGUAACGGCCUGGAAGGGCCGGCCAGAGACCGUGACAGCCGGGUGCGCGAAAAUCCAAAGCAGCCUAGGGGUAUCCCAAGUAACGCGGUGCACGUGAAACUCCGCGCGAAUCCGUCCCGACCACGGGAUAAGGCUAAAUACCAUCUAGCGACCGAUAGUGAACCAGUACCGCGAGGGAAAGGUGAAAAGAACCCCUGAUAGGGGAGUGAAAUAGAACCUGCAACCCUGUGCCUACAAUGUGUGGGAGCCCGCAAGGGUGACCGCCUGCCUUUUGCAUAAUGAGUCUGCGAGUUAUUGUCGGCGGCUGCCGUAGCCCCUCAGGGGCGGUGGCCCAGCGAAAGCGAGUGCGAAUAGCGCGACUAGGUCGCCGGCAAUAGACCCGAAGCGGAGGUGAUCUACUCAUGGUCAGGUUGAAGCUGGGGUAACACCCAGUGGAGGACCGAACUCGUGGAUGUUGAAAAAUCCUGAGAUGAACUGUGAGUAGGAGCGAAAGACUAAUCAAACCCCGUGAUAGCUGGUUCUCUCCGAAAUAGCUUGAGGGCUAGCGUCGGGUAAGUACUCCAGGGAGGUAGAGCACUGGAUGGCUUAGGGUCCCCACCAGGAUGCCAAAACCAAUCAAACUCCGAAUUCCCUGGAUCCCAAUAACCCGGCAGUCAGACUGUGGGGGAUAAGCUCCAUGGUCGAGAGGAUAACAGUCCAGACCGCCAGCCAAGGCGCCUAAAUACCGUUAAGUGGAAAGGAUGUGUCGUCGCUGAGACAGUGAGGAUGUUGGCUUAGAGGCAGCCAUCAUUUAAACAGUGCGUAACAGCUGACUCAUCGAGCGAUGACGCGCCGAAAAUGAUUGGCGAUAAGCGGUAUGCCGAAGCUGCGGAUUCCGUCCGGUCACGACCGGGCGGAGUGGUAGGAGAGCGUGGCCGUUCCGGCGAAGCCGUUUCGUAAGAAAUGGUGGAGGGGCGGCCAGUGAGAAUGCAGACACGAGUAGCGAUAAACCGGAUGAGAAUUCCGGUCGCCGUAAACCCAAGGUUUCCUGGGGCAGGUUCGUCCUCCCAGGGUCAGUCGGGAGCUAAGGUGAGGCCGUAGGGCGUAACCGAUGCACAGCAGGUCAACAUUCCUGCACCGGCAGGGGAUUAGGCGACGGGUAACGCAGAGAGAAAAGUGCCUACGUCAUUGAAAGACAGAGCGGAGGCUUCGGCCGAAGCGCAGCACCGGACAAUCUGCCGAGAAAAGCCCGUCGUCGUGCCCCGGCCGCCCGUACCGUAAACCGACACAGGUGGGUGGGUGUAAGUGCACCAAGGCGCGCGAGAGAAACCUCUCUAAGGAACUCGGCACAUUAGCCCCGUAACUUCGGGAGAAGGGGUGCCCCCCUCGGGGGGUCUCAGUAAAUUGCGUUUAGCGACUGUUUAACAAAAACACAGCACUCUGCCAAGUCGUCAAGACGACGUAUAGGGUGUGACACGUGACCAAUGCGGAAAGAUCAAGGUGAGCUGUCAGCCGCAAGGCGAAGCGGCGAACCCAAGUCCCCGUGAAUGUCGGCCGUAACUAUAACGGUCCUAAGGUAGCGAAAUUCCUUGUCGGGUAAGUUCCGACCUGCACGAAUCGUGUAACGACUGAACGACUGUCUCGGAGAGGAUCUCGGCGAAACUGUAAUUGCGGUGAAGAUGCCGCAUGCCCGCAGUAGGACGGAAAGACCCUAUGCACCUUCACUGUAAGCUGGCAUUGGGUUUUGAUUAAUGAUGCGUAGCGUAGGUGGGAGACUUUGAACCGCAGGCUUCGGUUUGCGGGGAGUCGCAAUGUGAAACACCACUCUUCGUUAAUUAGAAUUCUAACCCCGACCUGUCAUCCAGGCGGGGGACAGUGCUUGCCGGUCAGUUUGGCUGGGGCGGCUUCCUCCCAAAUGGUAACGGAGGAGCGCGAAGCUCGGCUCAGCACGGUUGGCAACCGUGCGACGAGGGUAUGGCUAGAAGCCGGGUUAACUGUGAGACCAACAAGUCAAGCAGAUGCGAAAGCAGGCCCAAAUGAUCCGAUGGUUUAAUGUGGAAUUGCCAUCGCUCAACGGACAAAAGGUACGCUAGGGAUAACAGGCUGAUCGGGCCCAAGAGUUCAUAUCGACGGCCCGGUUUGGCACCUCGAUGUCGGCUCAUCGCAUCCUGGGGCUGGAGAAGGUCCCAAGGGUCCGGCUGUUCGCCGGUUAAAGCGGUACGCGAGCUGGGUUCAGAACGUCGUGAGACAGUUCGGUCCUUAUCCACUGUGGGCGGAGGAAACUUGAGGGGUUCAUUCCUUAGUACGAGAGGACCGGGAAUGACGCACUUCUGGUGUGGCAGUUGUUCCGUCAGGGGCAUCGCUGCGUAGCCAUGUGCGGAAGGGAUAAGCGCUGAAAGCAUCUAAGUGCCAAGCCCAUCCCAAGAUAAUGUUUCCCUGGUCGCAAGGCCCUAAAGACUCCGGGUAGACCACCCGGUUGAUAGGUCAGGCGUGCAAGCGCUGCAAGGCGCUCAGCGGACUGAUACUAAUAUGUCGUGAGGCUUGAUCUU
Non-coding RNA from Oikopleura dioica, 2912 nucleotides. NCBI's taxonomy places the organism in Eukaryota, Metazoa, Chordata, Appendicularia, Copelata, Oikopleuridae. The record is from Rfam.